This is a long non-coding RNA of Bombyx mori (domestic silkworm), 516 nucleotides long. RefSeq lists it as uncharacterized. Lineage: Eukaryota; Metazoa; Arthropoda; Insecta; Lepidoptera; Bombycidae. The record is from RefSeq and is a predicted model, not a curated record. The transcript has 2 exons.
ACCAGCCCUCUCGGUCGGCAGGCUGUCCGAAGCCCACCUAGAUGGCGCCGGUUAGAGUGAGCGGCUCAUGCGGCCUGCACCAAUUUGAAGCCCCUUCAAGUCAUUCAAUCCCGUUUUUGCAGGAUAGCCGUCGGAGCACCAUGGUUCCUAAGGAAUGUGUAUCUUCAUGAUCUUGUGGAUCAUGUGGAGCUUGACUCAGUCAGCUUUAAGUAUGUGCCCUCGAGCCGACGAGCCGACGAGCCGGUCCACGAGCUGUCAGCGUCUGUGAAGUGCGAACAGGUCCAUCGCGAGCACACUCUUGUCCACACAGACUAAAAGCCGCGACCAGCCGACCGAAAAACUCGCGGGACAUGCUCCAGCACCACGACUUUGUGAUUUAGUCUAUUAUAAAAAACAUAAUGAUAUAAUAGAACAAACAGAGUACUGAUAGUAUUUAAAAAGCGAGUCAUAUAAGAACCAAACUAAAAGUUAACAUACAACGAAAUAAAAUGAGAUAGAUUAAUAACGUAUUAAAAA